GGACUACCGGGGUAUCUAAUCCUGUUCGCUCCCCACGCUUUCGCUCCUCAGCGUCAGUGCCGGCCCAGACCACCGCCUUCGCUACUGGUGUUCCUCCAGAUAUCUGCGCAUUUCACCGCUACACCUGGAAUUCCGUGGUCCCCUACCGGACUCAAGUCAUGGCAGUAUCAGAUGGCAGCCCCAGGUUGAGCCUGGGGAUUUCACACCUGACUUACCAAACCGCCUACGAGCUCUUUACGCCCAAUAAAUCCGGACAACGCUUGCACCCUACGUAUUACCGCGGCUGCUGGCAC
RNAcentral lists this ribosomal RNA (293 nucleotides) under uncultured bacterium. RNAcentral's name for it is "partial 16S ribosomal RNA". The record is from RNAcentral.